RNAcentral lists this ribosomal RNA (497 nucleotides) under uncultured bacterium. RNAcentral describes it as "partial 16S ribosomal RNA". It matches the Rfam family "Bacterial small subunit ribosomal RNA", at positions 28 to 507 of the family's 1533-position model. The record is from RNAcentral.
GAUGAACGCUGGCGGCGUGCCUAAUACAUGCAAGUAGAACGCUGAAGGAAGGAGCUUGCUCUUUCCGGAUGAGUUGCGAACGGGUGAGUAACGCGUAGGUAACCUGCCUGGUAGCGGGGGAUAACUAUUGGAAACGAUAGCUAAUACCGCAUAACAGUAGAUGUUGCAUGAUAUCUACUUAAAAGGUGCAAUUGCACCACUACCAGAUGGACCUGCGUUGUAUUAGCUAGUUGGUGAGGUAACGGCUCACCAAGGCGACGAUACAUAGCCGACCUGAGAGGGUGAUCGGCCACACUGGGACUGAGACACGGCCCAGACGCCUACGGGAGGCAGCAGUAGGGAAUCUUCGGCAAUGGACGGAAGUCUGACCGAGCAACGCCGCGUGAGGGAAGAAGGUUGUCGGAUCGUAAAGCUCGGUUGUAAGAGAAGAACGAGGGUGAGAGUGGAAAGUUCACACUGUGACGGUAUCUUAACAGAAAGGGACGGCUAACUACGUG